AUACGUAGGGGGCGAGCGUUGUCCGAAGUUACUGGGCGUAAAGCGCGCGUAGGCGGGCUGUUAAGUCGGAAGUGAAAGGCUGGGGCUCAACCCCAGCAGUGCUUCCGAUACUGGCAGUCUUGAGGGCGGUAGGGAGAAGUGGAAUGGCUGGUGUAGCGGUGAAAUGCGUAGAUAUCAGUCGGAACACCGGUGGCGAAGGCGGCUUCUUGGGCCGUUCCUGACGCUGAGGCGCGAAAGCCAGGGGAGCGAACGGGAUUAGAUACCCCGGUAGUCCUGGCCGUAAACGAUGGAUACUAGGUGUUGGGGGUAUCGACCCCCCCAGUGCCGCAGCUAACGCAUUAAGUAUCCCGCCUGGGGAGUACGGCCGCAAGGUUGAA
RNAcentral lists this ribosomal RNA (377 nucleotides) under uncultured bacterium. RNAcentral's name for it is "bacterial SSU rRNA". It matches the Rfam family "Bacterial small subunit ribosomal RNA", at positions 523 to 898 of the family's 1533-position model. The record is from RNAcentral.